GGCGGGCCCGGCCAUAGGCGCCCAAGGGCUUACAGCUCGGGUUUUUCUGGUUAAUUGCUGCAGCAAGAGGACUAGCCGGCCGUGUGCAGAGCAUCCUUUUUUGACCCUCAGAGAGCCCGGGCGGGAAAAGAGCGUCCCUCAAGAGGGCCUUGGCCCUCGUGGAUCUGGUUCUCUCAGGCCAGCGUUCCUUCGACGGGGACUCUCCUGGCGAGUUCCUAGCCGUUACCCUUUCCUCAGCUCAGCUCCUGGACCAUGGCUCUGGGUCACACAGCCUCCUGGGCUGCUCUUUCGUAUGCCACAUUUUUAUUCACUUUUGAGAGCCUAUGCGCCAUGCACCCUUCUAAUCCCUGAAUGGACGAAACAAAGCCCUUAGACUGACAUUCUAAUGGAGAACAGAAAUCAAGAUGAACGCUUCCUACGGUGAUGAGGAGAAAAGAGCCUCCCUGUGGUAUUCGGAGUCCUGUCUUCCUAUCUUUCUGUUGGUUGAUGUGUAGACACAACGAUUGGAGCCAAGCAGACAACCUGGACCCUGGAGGACAGAGACUCAUGUUGAGGAUGGUGGAUAAAUGGGAUAGAAGUCUGGAUCCUUAAUGAUUGUAGAGCCACCCUAUUAUCCUGGCCUGCUUCCCACUGACAUCUUGCAUAUCCAGGUGCAGAAGACUCCAAGGAAACAGAGGCUAUUGGACCCACAACUUGGAAGGAGCCCGGGUCCCUGAAUGAUCAUGAGGAGGGACGGCCCUGGCUGAGCAAGACACCUACACUGAACUAUUACACGAGC
RNAcentral lists this long non-coding RNA (778 nucleotides) under Equus caballus (horse). Its description in RNAcentral is "lncRNA (ENSECAG00000054932.1)". The record is from RNAcentral. Lineage: Eukaryota; Metazoa; Chordata; Mammalia; Perissodactyla; Equidae.